RNAcentral lists this ribosomal RNA (424 nucleotides) under uncultured rumen bacterium. Its description in RNAcentral is "bacterial SSU rRNA". It matches the Rfam family "Bacterial small subunit ribosomal RNA", at positions 354 to 776 of the family's 1533-position model. The record is from RNAcentral.
GUGAGGAAUAUUGGUCAAUGGGCGAGAGCCUGAACCAGCCAAGUAGCGUGAAGGAUGACUGCCCUAUGGGUUGUAAACUUCUUUUAUGGGAGGAUAAAGUGCCGUACGCGUACGGUAUUGCAGGUAUCCCAUGAAUAAGCAUCGGCUAAUUCCGUGCCAGCAGCCGCGGUAAUACGGAAGAUGCGAGCGUUAUCCGGAUUUAUUGGGUUUAAAGGGAGCGUAGGCGGGCUUUUAAGUCUGCGGUAAAAUGGCCGUGCUCAACGCGGUCCUGCCGUGGAAACUGGGAGUCUUGAAUGUGCACAAGGAAGGUGGAAUUCGUGGUGUAGCGGUGAAAUGCUUAGAUAUCACGAAGAACUCCGAUUGCGAAGGCAGCCUUCUGGGGCAUGAUUGACGCUGAGGCUCGAAAGCGCGGGAAUCAAACAGG